UCCGAUGAUGACGGAUCAACCGGCCGAACGGUGACGACAUCGGUCUUGUCUGAGG
This 55-nucleotide small nucleolar RNA is filed under the name Thermococcus kodakarensis KOD1. RNAcentral describes it as "Small nucleolar RNA sR14". It matches the Rfam family "Small nucleolar RNA sR14". Lineage: Archaea; Methanobacteriati; Methanobacteriota; Thermococci; Thermococcales; Thermococcaceae. The record is from Rfam by way of RNAcentral.